Molecule: long non-coding RNA, 2625 nt
Organism: Dermacentor andersoni
Lineage: Eukaryota; Metazoa; Arthropoda; Arachnida; Ixodida; Ixodidae
Source: RefSeq, a predicted model, not a curated record
CGGUCGUUUCAUUGCCAACUGUGAGGAUGAAGCAGCUUCAUGGCCGGAGAUCGGGCGCCUCCCAUCAGUUUCCCUUUUCAGCAAUAGAGGCCUUGGAGGCCUUUCUACCUGCGUUGCAUCCUGUGGCUGGACCACUCCAACGAUCUCGGCAGAAUCGUUACACAGGAAGAAGUCUGGCUGGCCCCAAGCCUGGUGCAAAAUGAAGAAAUGGCGCUCCACAUCAAUUCAUGUUUACUUGUCGUCAUAGCCAGUCUGUUAGCUUAAUUUUUGGUUCUUCCUAUUGAAUUCUCAAGAAAGGUACCAACUCUGUCAUUCAUUGAAAACAAAUUUUUGCACUUGGGGAUGCAGCCAUGCACAAAGCCUUUGAGCUCAUUAAUAUCUUUAUUUUUUAAAGAAAGUGCAGCUCCUGCGUGGAGCAAUAGGUUGAAUAAUACGAGGGUUAAUGAAAAGGUGGCGAAAUUAGUCAUCAACAGUUGUCCAACAAAGGAAGUCUCAAGCUGGAGGCAACAUCUUUGCAAGAGAACCAAAUGGCUCCAGCCUGAGACAUUCGUUGUUCAACCUGGCAAGUCUCCUUCUCGAAAUAUUUCCUCUAGCCUGAGACCUAUAUCCAUUCCACCACCCUUGACCAACAAUACACCUAUACAUUUGGCAACCCAUGGAAAGGUAGCAAAUUCACAUUCAAAGAAAGGGAAUGUAGUGUGCACCCUGGAAGGUAGCAUGAACAGUAUUUUAUUUACUUCAUGAAAUGCAGAUUUGCUAUCCAAUUACUUUAUUUUGAUCCCCUUUUUAUAAUUGGACAGCAUGGUUCCUCAGAGAGAAUAAUAAUUCGAAGCUCACACAAUUUUGCUCCUUUAUGUCCGUUAAAUCUGUCCUGGUUGCUACACUAUCAGCCCUGUCUGCAAUUGCAUAGCAGUGUUUUGAGCAUGCAUCCAAAUUCAAAAGAAUAGUUAGGCUUCUACCUCAGAAUGUUUGCUACUGUGUUGCAGCUCGAAUUCUAUGUCUAGGUGGUCACUGUGAUGCCAUGUGCUUUUUAAAUAAGACCAAUAUGCUAUUUGAAGGGCAAUUAAAUGCAAUCUCAAAUGACCUCAGCUCGGGGAAUGACACAAUUGGAGGUCAAUGUGAUAAGGAGGAUUUGAUUUCUGAAAACAAGGCACUUAAACGGGAGAAAGCAUGACUAAUUUCGUCUAAAGAUGCUGCUAUUGGAUAUGAUCAGGGAAGGUACUUGUUCGUGGCUGCAUUUGCAACAUGUUACAUUGCUGGCUUUAUAUAUUGCACUGGGUACAGUGAAAUGUUGCUGCUUGCCCAAUAUUCAACUAAACAUGGUAGCCAUGCUAAUGUGUCCAUGCAGAACACAACUCAUCCACUAUUAUGGACUACAGUGGAAUCUCGAUAAACGAAAAUCGCUUCGAAACUGCCGCUUAAAUAGGACACCAUCCUGAUAAUUGGUUGGCUCUCUGCAAUGUCUCUCAGUAAAUAUAAUGCCUGGUAAAUGGAACCAAUAUCCCUGGCACCUUGAGGCUCCAUUUAAAGAGCACCCACUGUAAAAAUAUAGGGGGGAUCGUGUUUGGAACUUUCGUAAAUGUAGUCUUAAACAAAACCGCAUUUCAGUGGGAGCGAAAUGCAAAAGCACCCGUGUACUUAGACAGGUGCAUGUUAAAGAACCCCAGGUUGUCCAAAUAAAUUCGGGGUUACUCGCUAUGGCAUGUGUCAUAAUCAGAAGGUGGGUUCUGGUUCGUAAAAUACAAUAAUUUUUAAUAGCUUGCUCAGAAAUCCAGCACUAAAUUAUGUAGCUUGUUUGUGUGAUGAGCCCCAUUCCUUAAUUUAGUACUUUGACAUUUAUCAUAUUUGUGUGUUAGUCCAUGCAAAAUACCACUGAUCGGCCUCAUUAUACAAGCCACUGUUAAUUAGGAAUGGCUUAGUCAAGCAACUUAAACUUACAGCACAAACACCUAAGACGAACCACAAAAGGAAGGUACGACACACAGUGGUGCUAACAACUUCUUUAUUUCUUCGUCGUCGAUGCAAUAUAAACCCUAGGCCACACUACCGCGCAGGCACUCAGAUUACAUUACAGAGAUCUGCCAAAUUAUCACAUACGCAAGCGUAGGAAGUCAAAUUCAGAUGGAUGCAGGGACAAAGAUAUCUUACUAAUGCAAUUAUCGCCCUGCCUUUCUUGUGGUAGGCCUCUAAGGCAAGCCGCACAUGCUCAUUCUUGCUUUUGCCAAGAAUCGACGUCCCAUCAAGUUCUGCCUCACAAUUGUUGCAAGAGUUAAUAUGCGCACCAAGGUGCGCUCCUCUAUCUACAUUUUUGUUUACUUGUUGCGCAUGUUCCCUGAGUCGCUCAUUGACGCAAUGCGCUAUCUAGCCAAGCUAUGUCUUACCACAUGAGAGUGAAUGGUAUAAACCACGCCGACCGCGCACAACACGUAUGAAGCAUCAUGCCGAAUUUGGCAUCCUCCUCUGCCCUCUCCGCAGGUGCGGGAGCAUAGCUUUAAAAGCUUGUUCGGUGCAGAAAACGCCAAAGGAACACUAUGCCUGCAAGCAAUUUUCUUGAGUUGAUAGAUGACCUUAUGUGUUUAAGGGACCAUGCAGGGAACAUGCACAAAAAGUAAACAAAAAUGUAGA